UUGUCCAUCUACAUCUACUUUUUAUUCAAUCCAUAUCUGAGGUUUACAUAUCGCUCUACAAACAUAUUAUUGCUAUGGCUGAAGGUUCAUCAAGUCUACCAUGGUUCUUAAGGCUAAUGAAUGUAGCAGAUACAGUUAUUUUG
Long non-coding RNA from Helianthus annuus (common sunflower), 143 nucleotides. RefSeq lists it as uncharacterized. The record is from RefSeq and is a predicted model, not a curated record. The transcript has 3 exons. Lineage: Eukaryota; Viridiplantae; Streptophyta; Magnoliopsida; Asterales; Asteraceae.